ACGGGUGAGUAAUGUAUCGGAACGUACCGAGUAAUGGGGGAUAACUAAUCGAAAGAUUAGCUAAUACCGCAUAUUCUCUGAGGAGGAAAGCAGGGGACCUUCGGGCCUUGCGUUAUUCGAGCGGCCGAUAUCUGAUUAGCUAGUUGGUGGGGUAACGGCUCACCAAGGCGACGAUACAUAGCCGACCUGAGAGGGUGAUCGGCCACACUGGGACUGAGACACGGCCCAGACUCCUACGGGAGGCAGCAGUAGGGAAUCUUCGGCAAUGGACGGAAGUCUGACCGAGCAACGCCGCGUGAGUGAAGAAGGUUUUCGGAUCGUAAAGCUCUGUUGUAAGAGAAGAACGAGUGUGAGAGUGGAAAGUUCACACUGUGACGGUAUCUUACCAGAAAGGGACGGCUAACUACGUGCCAGCAGCCGCGGUAAUACGUAGGUCCCGAGCGUUGUCCGGAUUUAUUGGGCGUAAAGCGAGCGCAGGCGGUUAGAUAAGUCUGAAGUUAAAGGCUGUGGCUUAACCAUAGUACGCUUUGGAAACUGUUUAACUUGAGUGCAAGAGGGGAGAGUGGAAUUCCAUGUGUAGCGGUGAAAUGCGUAGAUAUAUGGAGGAACACCGGUGGCGAAAGCGGCUCUCUGGCUUGUAACUGACGCUGAGCUCGAAAGCGUGGGGAGCAAACAGGAUUAGAUACCCU
Molecule: ribosomal RNA, 689 nt
Filed under: uncultured bacterium
Lineage: Bacteria
Description: bacterial SSU rRNA
Rfam family: Bacterial small subunit ribosomal RNA
Source: RNAcentral